This is a long non-coding RNA of Eriocheir sinensis (Chinese mitten crab), 860 nucleotides long. RefSeq lists it as uncharacterized. Lineage: Eukaryota; Metazoa; Arthropoda; Malacostraca; Decapoda; Varunidae. The record is from RefSeq and is a predicted model, not a curated record. The transcript is spliced from 3 exons.
CUGCCUCUGUGGUGGAUAGUGGAGUGUUUCCCAUGUGGUAUUGGUGUGCUGGAUAUCCCUUCACUGGUAGCCUGGUAACAUAUAUUCCCAGGUCUUUCUCUGCCUCUGUGGUGGAUAGUGGAGUGUUUCCCAUGUGGUAUUGGUAGGCUGGAUAUCCCUUCACUGGUAGCCUGGUAACAUAUAGUCCCAGGUCUUUCUCUGCCUCUGUGGUGGAUAGUGGAGUGUUUCCCAUGUGGUAUUGGUAUGCUGGAUAUCUCUUCACUGGUAGCCUGGUAACAUAUAGUCCCAGGUCUUUCUCUGCCUCUGUGGUGGAUAGUGGAGUGUUUCCCAUGUGGUAUUGGUGUGCUGGAUAUCCCUUCACUGGUAGCCUGGUAACAUAUAGUCCCAGGUCUUUCUCUGCCUCUGUGGUGGAUAGUGGAGUGUUUCCCAUGUGGUAUUGGUGUGCUGGAUAUCCCUUCACUGGUAGCCUGGUAACAUAUAGUCCCAGGUCUUUCUCUGCCUCUGUGGUGGAUAGUGGAGUGUUUCCCAUGUGGUAUUGGAGUGCUGGAUAUCCCUUCACUGGUAGCCUGGUAACAUAUAGUCCCAGGUCUUUCUCUGCCUCUGUGGUGGAUAGUGGAGUGUUUCCCAUGUGGUAUUGGUGUGCUGGAUAUCCCUUCACUGGUAGCCUGGUAACAUAUAGUCCCAGGUCUUUCUCUGCCUCUGUGGUGGAUAGUGGAGUGUUUCCCAUGUGGUAUUGGUGUGCUGGAUAUCCCUUCACUGGUAGCCUGGUAACAUACAGUCCCAGGUCUUUCUCUGCCUCUGUGGUGGAUAGUGGAGUGUUUCCCAUGUGGUAUUGGUGUGCUGGAUAUCCCUUCACUGGU